AAAGAAUUGGUUCUGCUAUCGGUAGUGACAGUUCCCACUCUAGACCUACCAACCAAUCCUCAGAUACUUGACUAAGUAGAUGAUCUUACACAACUAAGUUAUUUGAACGAGCCUCAGUUCUUCACAAUCUUCAGACUAGAUAUUUACAAGAUAAUUUAUAUAGAAUGGCAAGCCCUGUACUUUUGUCAAUCAAUCAAUUUAACAAUGUCUAGCUAUAUGGGGAUGAUAAAGAAGAAACUUUUGGACACUCCUCAUGCUUAUGCUGUUGCUGAUGCAGCAUGCAAUGCAAUGAUAGCAGAUGAAGAAGUUGACUAAUAAGAAAGAAGGAGGUGCAAAAAAAAGAAAAGAAAAAAAGAAAAAAAGAGAAAA
Long non-coding RNA from Salvia splendens (bonfire salvia), 369 nucleotides. RefSeq lists it as uncharacterized. The transcript has 4 exons. The record is from RefSeq and is a predicted model, not a curated record. NCBI's taxonomy places the organism in Eukaryota, Viridiplantae, Streptophyta, Magnoliopsida, Lamiales, Lamiaceae.